This 668-nucleotide ribosomal RNA is filed under the name uncultured Wolbachia sp. RNAcentral's name for it is "bacterial SSU rRNA". It matches the Rfam family "Bacterial small subunit ribosomal RNA", at positions 198 to 889 of the family's 1533-position model. Lineage: Bacteria; Pseudomonadati; Pseudomonadota; Alphaproteobacteria; Rickettsiales; Anaplasmataceae. The record is from RNAcentral.
GGGGGAAAAAUUUAUUGCUAUUAGAUGAGCCUAUAUUAGAUUAGUUAGUUGGUGAGGUAAAGGCUUACCAAGACAAUGAUCUAUAGCUGAUCUGAGAGGAUGAUCAGCCACACUGGAACUGAGAUACGGUCCAGACUCCUACGGGAGGCAGCAGUGGGGAAUAUUGGACAAUGGGCGAAAGCCUGAUCCAGCCAUGCCGCAUGAGUGAAGAAGGCCUUCGGGUUGUAAAGCUCUUUUAGUGAGGAAGAUAGUGACGGUACUCACAGAAGAAGUCCUGGCUAACUCCGUGCCAGCAGCCGCGGUAAUACGGAGAGGGCUAGCGUUAUUCGGAAUCAUUGGGCGUAAAGGGCGCGUAGGCGGGUUAGUAAGUUAAAAGUGAAAUCCCAAGGCUCAACCUUGGAACUGCUUUUAAAACUGCUAGUCUAGAGAUUGAAAGAGGAUAGAGGAAUUCCUAGUGUAGAGAUGAAAUUCGUAAAUAUUAGGAGGAACACCAGUGGCGAAGGCGUCUAUCUGGUUCAAAUCUGACGCUGAGGCGCGAAGGCGUGGGGAGCAAACAGGAUUAGAUACCCUGGUAGUCCACGCUGUAAACGAUGAAUGUUAAAUAUGGGAAGUUUACUUUCUGUAUUAUAGCUAACGCGUUAAACAUUCCGCCUGGGGACUACNGUCGC